CAGUCGAGCGGCAGCGACAACAUUGAACCUUCGGGGGAUUUGUUGGGCGGCGAGCGGCGGACGGGUGAGUAAUGCCUGGGAAAUUGCCCUGAUGUGGGGGAUAACCAUUGGAAACGAUGGCUAAUACCGCAUGAUAGCUUCGGCUCAAAGAGGGGGACCUUCGGGCCUCUCGCGUCAGGAUAUGCCCAGGUGGGAUUAGCUAGUUGGUGAGGUAAGGGCUCACCAAGGCGACGAUCCCUAGCUGGUCUGAGAGGAUGAUCAGCCACACUGGAACUGAGACACGGUCCAGACUCCUACGGGAGGCAGCAGUGGGGAAUAUUGCACAAUGGGCGCAAGCCUGAUGCAGCCAUGCCGCGUGUAUGAAGAAGGCCUUCGGGUUGUAAAGUACUUUCAGCAGUGAGGAAGGAGGUAUCGUUAAUAGCGGUAUCUUUUGACGUUAGCUGCAGAAGAAGCACCGGCUAACUCCGUGCCAGCCG
This 476-nucleotide ribosomal RNA is filed under the name bacterium 2611-S4-01B-1. Its description in RNAcentral is "bacterial SSU rRNA". It matches the Rfam family "Bacterial small subunit ribosomal RNA", at positions 59 to 514 of the family's 1533-position model. The record is from RNAcentral.